RNAcentral lists this ribosomal RNA (253 nucleotides) under uncultured bacterium. RNAcentral's name for it is "partial 16S ribosomal RNA". It matches the Rfam family "Bacterial small subunit ribosomal RNA", at positions 524 to 776 of the family's 1533-position model. The record is from RNAcentral.
UACGUAGGGGGCAAGCGUUGUCCGGAAUCAUUGGGCGUAAAGCGCGUGUAGGCGGCUUGGUAAGUCUGCUCUGAAAGCCCGGGGCUCAACCCCGGGAGGCGGGUGGAUACUGCUGAGCUCGAGUCCGGAAGAGGCGAGUGGAAUUCCUGGUGUAGCGGUGAAAUGCGCAGAUAUCAUUUGGAACGCCAAUGGUGAAAACAGCUCGCUGGGAAUGAUCUGACGCUGAGACGCGAAAGCCAGGGGAGCGAACGGG